AGAGUUUGAUCAUGGCUCAGGAUUAACGCUAGCGGCAGGCCUAAUACAUGCAAGUCGAACGGUAACAGGUGUAGCAAUACAUGCUGACGAGUGGCGCACGGGUGCGUAACGCGUAUGCAACCUACCUAUAACUGGGGAAUAGCCUUCUGAAAGGAAGAUUAACACCGCAUAACAUCAUGAAACGGCAUCGUUUUAUGAUCAAAUCUCCGGAGGUUAUAGAUGGGCAUGCGUGACAUUAGCUAGUUGGUGAGGUAACGGCUCACCAAGGCUACGAUGUCUAGGGGCUGAGAGGAUGAUCCCCCACACUGGUACUGAGACACGGACCAGACUCCUACGGGAGGCAGCAGUAAGGAAUAUUGGACAAUGGGCGCAAGCCUGAUCCAGCCAUGCCGCGUGAAGGAUGACGGCCCUCUGGGUUGUAAACUUCUUUUAUAUGGGAAUAAACCCCUGGUUUCUACCGGGGCUGAAUGUACCGUAAGAAUAAGGAUCGGCUAACUUCGUGCCAGCAGCCGCGGUAAUACGAAGGAUCCAAGCGUUAUCCGGAUUUAUUGGGUUUAAAGGGUGCGUAGGCGGACUAUUAAGUCAGUGGUGAAAGCCUGCAGCUUAACUGCAGAACUGCCAUUGAUACUGAUGGUCUUGAGUACAUUUGAGGUGGGCGGAAUGUGUCUGUAGUGGUGAAAUACUUAGAUAUGACACAGAACUCCGAUUGCGAAGGCAGCUCACUAAACUGUAACUGACGCUGAGGCACGAAAGCGUGGGGAUCAAACAGGAUUAGAUACCCUGGUAGUCC
This 790-nucleotide ribosomal RNA is filed under the name uncultured bacterium. RNAcentral's name for it is "bacterial SSU rRNA". It matches the Rfam family "Bacterial small subunit ribosomal RNA", at positions 8 to 796 of the family's 1533-position model. The record is from RNAcentral.